UACGUAGGGUGCGAGCGUUGUCCGGAAUUAUUGGGCGUAAAGGGCUCGUAGGCGGUUUGUCACGUCGGGAGUGAAAACUCGGGGCUUAACCCCGAGCCUGCUUCCGAUACGGGCAGACUAGAGGUAUGCAGGGGAGAACGGAAUUCCUGGUGUAGCGGUGAAAUGCGCAGAUAUCAGGAGGAACACCGAUGGCGAAGGCAGGUCUCUGGGCCACUACUGACGCUGAGAAGCGAAAGCAUGGGGAGCGAACAGG
This 253-nucleotide ribosomal RNA is filed under the name uncultured bacterium. RNAcentral's name for it is "partial 16S ribosomal RNA". It matches the Rfam family "Bacterial small subunit ribosomal RNA", at positions 524 to 776 of the family's 1533-position model. The record is from RNAcentral.